GUAGGUUGAACGGAUGGGCAUAUAAGGCUAGUUUUUUCUGCAGUGGAUUUACUAGAGCCUACACUGGCUUGAUUUAAAGCAUUUACGUCUGGCUCGGGUCCUUUUUUCCAUAAUGGUAGCAUGCGAUUGGUCACAUCACGACAUUCUAUCAUAUAUUUUUUACAGGACUUUUUAAUCAGCCUACUUUUCUUAUCACAAAUAGUAUUUAACAUUUCUACUGACCUGUUUUCUGGCGAUAAUCGUUCGGGAUAGGGCUCCGGAAAUACAUUAGGAUGCAUUAAAGUUAUAGUUCUUAAGUUCGAGACGAAAUCAGUCACGUAAGCACUUCCGCAUGUUCUGGAUACGUAAUCAUGGAAGUCUUCAUUGAUUCGCGAGCGUGGGUUAAACGUAACCGGAAGUGGGAGUCGUACUGAGCCGCUAUUUGUGAUUUUAUAUUUUAUUUUUUUCGGUUUUACAGUUAAUUUUGAUUUUUUAUCGGACCCGUCUAAGGUCUUUGAAUUAUUCUGACCCAUGGUCAGUGAUUUCCAGAGGGGUUUAGACGCUUUGAAGGAUUUAAGUUAGUUUUUAUUUUUGCUGUGGCACACCUGAGGUUACUUGAUUUUUUGCUAGCAAUUUUAUGUUUUUAGUGAGCAACUUCUCACUUUUUAACGAGCAACUUCUCGUUUUAUGACCCCAGGCAACUUCCUGUGUCCUUUCUGCUUUUAUUUACAAAACAACAGGCAACUUCCUGUGUUUCUAUGUGGGCCACUAAAGAAGGCUCCUCAGUGUAUCCCACUUGUUACUAUGUGGGCCACUGAAGAAGGCCUCGUCAGCGUAUCCCGUUUCUAUGUGGAUCACUGAGAAAGGCAUAACACAGUCUUAUAAAAUAAAAGACGAGUGCCUACCUUCGUCAGGAUCCCACUUCUGACACCAAAAUUGAAGGAAACUGUUUCCAGGGCCUACUCCGUGGAUCGGCUUCCUCCGAGGCGUGGACGUCUAUCAGCAGAGAAUGUACCUUCACCUAUCAGCAGAGAAUGUCCCUUAGUCUGUAACACAGUCAAAUAUAUUCUCAAG
This is a long non-coding RNA of Astatotilapia calliptera (eastern happy), 1053 nucleotides long. NCBI's taxonomy places the organism in Eukaryota, Metazoa, Chordata, Actinopteri, Cichliformes, Cichlidae. The record is from Ensembl.